UUAAGCGAUUAAGCGUACACGGUGGAUGCCCUGGCAGUCAGAGGCGAUGAAGGACGUGCUAAUCUGCGAUAAGCGUCGGUGAGGUGAUAUGAACCGUUAUAACCGGCGAUUUCCGAAUGGGGAAACCCAGUGUGUUUCGACACACUAUCAUUAACUGAAUCCAUAGGUUAAUGAGGCGAACCGGGGGAACUGAAACAUCUAAGUACCCCGAGGAAAAGAAAUCAACCGAGAUUCCCCCAGUAGCGGCGAGCGAACGGGGAGGAGCCCAGAGCCUGAAUCAGUGUGUGUGUUAGUGGAAGCGUCUGGAAAGGCGUGCGAUACAGGGUGACAGCCCCGUACACAAAAAUGCACAUAUUGUGAGCUCGAUGAGUAGGGCGGGACACGUGGUAUCCUGUCUGAAUAUGGGGGGACCAUCCUCCAAGGCUAAAUACUCCUGACUGACCGAUAGUGAACCAGUACCGUGAGGGAAAGGCGAAAAGAACCCCGGCGAGGGGAGUGAAAAAGAACCUGAAACCGUGUACGUACAAGCAGUGGGAGCCUCUUAAUGGGGUGACUGCGUACCUUUUGUAUAAUGGGUCAGCGACUUAUAUUCUGUAGCAAGGUUAACCGAAUAGGGGAGCCGAAGGGAAACCGAGUCUUAACUGGGCGUUAAGUUGCAGGGUAUAGACCCGAAACCCGGUGAUCUAGCCAUGGGCAGGUUGAAGGUUGGGUAACACUAACUGGAGGACCGAACCGACUAAUGUUGAAAAAUUAGCGGAUGACUUGUGGCUGGGGGUGAAAGGCCAAUCAAACCGGGAGAUAGCUGGUUCUCCCCGAAAGCUAUUUAGGUAGCGCCUCGUGAAUUCAUCUCCGGGGGUAGAGCACUGUUUCGGCAAGGGGGUCAUCCCGACUUACCAACCCGAUGCAAACUGCGAAUACCGGAGAAUGUUAUCACGGGAGACACACGGCGGGUGCUAACGUCCGUCGUGAAGAGGGAAACAACCCAGACCGCCAGCUAAGGUCCCAAAGUCAUGGUUAAGUGGGAAACGAUGUGGGAAGGCCCAGACAGCCAGGAUGUUGGCUUAGAAGCAGCCAUCAUUUAAAGAAAGCGUAAUAGCUCACUGGUCGAGUCGGCCUGCGCGGAAGAUGUAACGGGGCUAAACCAUGCACCGAAGCUGCGGCAGCGACACUAUGUGUUGUUGGGUAGGGGAGCGUUCUGUAAGCCUGUGAAGGUGGCCUGUGAGGGUUGCUGGAGGUAUCAGAAGUGCGAAUGCUGACAUAAGUAACGAUAAAGCGGGUGAAAAGCCCGCUCGCCGGAAGACCAAGGGUUCCUGUCCAACGUUAAUCGGGGCAGGGUGAGUCGACCCCUAAGGCGAGGCCGAAAGGCGUAGUCGAUGGGAAACAGGUUAAUAUUCCUGUACUUGGUGUUACUGCGAAGGGGGGACGGAGAAGGCUAUGUUGGCCGGGCGACGGUUGUCCCGGUUUAAGCGUGUAGGCUGGUUUUCCAGGCAAAUCCGGAAAACCAAGGCUGAGGCGUGAUGACGAGGCACUACGGUGCUGAAGUGACAAAUGCCCUGCUUCCAGGAAAAGCCUCUAAGCAUCAGGUAACAUCAAAUCGUACCCCAAACCGACACAGGUGGUCAGGUAGAGAAUACCAAGGCGCUUGAGAGAACUCGGGUGAAGGAACUAGGCAAAAUGGUGCCGUAACUUCGGGAGAAGGCACGCUGAUAUGUAGGUGAAGCGACUUGCUCGUGGAGCUGAAAUCAGUCGAAGAUACCAGCUGGCUGCAACUGUUUAUUAAAAACACAGCACUGUGCAAACACGAAAGUGGACGUAUACGGUGUGACGCCUGCCCGGUGCCGGAAGGUUAAUUGAUGGGGUUAGCGGUAACGCGAAGCUCUUGAUCGAAGCCCCGGUAAACGGCGGCCGUAACUAUAACGGUCCUAAGGUAGCGAAAUUCCUUGUCGGGUAAGUUCCGACCUGCACGAAUGGCGUAAUGAUGGCCAGGCUGUCUCCACCCGAGACUCAGUGAAAUUGAACUCGCUGUGAAGAUGCAGUGUACCCGCGGCAAGACGGAAAGACCCCGUGAACCUUUACUAUAGCUUGACACUGAACAUUGAGCCUUGAUGUGUAGGAUAGGUGGGAGGCUUUGAAGUGUGGACGCCAGUCUGCAUGGAGCCGACCUUGAAAUACCACCCUUUAAUGUUUGAUGUUCUAACGUUGGCCCGUAAUCCGGGUUGCGGACAGUGUCUGGUGGGUAGUUUGACUGGGGCGGUCUCCUCCUAAAGAGUAACGGAGGAGCACGAAGGUUGGCUAAUCCUGGUCGGACAUCAGGAGGUUAGUGCAAUGGCAUAAGCCAGCUUGACUGCGAGCGUGACGGCGCGAGCAGGUGCGAAAGCAGGUCAUAGUGAUCCGGUGGUUCUGAAUGGAAGGGCCAUCGCUCAACGGAUAAAAGGUACUCCGGGGAUAACAGGCUGAUACCGCCCAAGAGUUCAUAUCGACGGCGGUGUUUGGCACCUCGAUGUCGGCUCAUCACAUCCUGGGGCUGAAGUAGGUCCCAAGGGUAUGGCUGUUCGCCAUUUAAAGUGGUACGCGAGCUGGGUUUAGAACGUCGUGAGACAGUUCGGUCCCUAUCUGCCGUGGGCGCUGGAGAACUGAGGGGGGCUGCUCCUAGUACGAGAGGACCGGAGUGGACGCAUCACUGGUGUUCGGGUUGUCAUGCCAAUGGCACUGCCCGGUAGCUAAAUGCGGAAGAGAUAAGUGCUGAAAGCAUCUAAGCACGAAACUUGCCCCGAGAUGAGUUCUCCCUGACUCCUUGAGAGUCCUGAAGGAACGUUGAAGACGACGACGUUGAUAGGCCGGGUGUGUAAGCGCAGCGAUGCGUUGAGCUAACCGGUACUAAUGAACCGUGAGGCUUAACCUU
Molecule: ribosomal RNA, 2902 nt
Filed under: Escherichia coli UMEA 3694-1
Lineage: Bacteria; Pseudomonadati; Pseudomonadota; Gammaproteobacteria; Enterobacterales; Enterobacteriaceae
Description: bacterial LSU rRNA
Rfam family: Bacterial large subunit ribosomal RNA
Source: RNAcentral